Molecule: ribosomal RNA, 253 nt
Filed under: uncultured bacterium
Lineage: Bacteria
Description: partial 16S ribosomal RNA
Rfam family: Bacterial small subunit ribosomal RNA
Source: RNAcentral
UACAGGGGGUGCAAACGUUGCUCGGAAUCAUUGGGCGUAAAGCGCACGUAGGCGGUCUGUUGCGUCCGCUGUGAAAACCCGGGGCUUAACCCUGGGCUGGCAGUGGAUACGGACAGACUAGAGGUAGGUAGGGGAGAAUGGAAUUCCCGGUGUAGCGGUGAAAUGCGCAGAUAUCGGGAGGAACACCGGUGGCGAAGGCGGUUCUCUGGGCCUUACCUGACGCUGAGGAGCGAAAGCGUGGGGAGCGAACAGG